AUCACUGAGGAUGAAAAAUCAGGAGGUGGACAUCCAUAACAUUGGUCCCUGUCAACCCUGUGUGCAGCAAAUGGGUUCCACCCCGGAAGUGGCAAAAGAAAGUGUAUGAGUCAUUGUUGGCGAGGAAGGUGGCUACGUCCAGGCUUUCAGCAGAAGCCUGGCUGACAAGAUCAGACAUGACCCAGGCCCCAGCCACCUUUGUAGGUCCAUCCUGCCCAUCAGUACCUCCGCUCAAAAAUAGCACAUCAGUGGGCCCCAGUGGCUGCCUUCCCAGCUCCACUCCCACAUGCAGGGCCAGUUCUUGGUUCCGACCGCCCUUGCCAGAUCCCUGCAGCUGCACUGUGGGCUCCCCACCAGCCAGGAGGCAGACUGGACCUUUAGCCCUUGCCACAGCUUCCAGAGCCUCCUCCAGCUGCAUGUCCGGGAGCUGAAGCUCAGCUGCCAGCUGAUGGAGUUGUGCCUCCUCCUCCAAGGGAUGCUCAGUCGAGGAUGAAGUGAGGUGGGCUGCAGCCACCCGGGCUAGCAGCCCAUAGAACUGAGCCACGCUUUUGACAUCACCUUGCAUGGCUGUGCUCAACACCAUGGCCCGGUAGCCCAGUACCUCGGCUUGCCUCUGAGCCUCAGCCAGUGCCAGAGAGUUAGAGCCGAUGAUCACAUUGAGGACAUGACCACAGGUAUGUGGUCCAUGGGGGUCAGAGUCAGCUCGGGAAAGCACGGUCUUCACGGAGCGGGGCAGAGCAGCACGGAGACCGUAAUGGUUAAGAAUAUGCAGGCAGUCUUGCACACUGUGGGUACUGGCCACAGUAGGGCCACUGGCAAUCACCUCCAAGGGGUCCCCAAUCACAUCUGACAAGAUGAGGCUUACCACCUAGACAAAGGCCACAAAAUAAGGCUCAGUCUUGCCUCCUCUGUGUUCCAGGGCCCUUAAGGACAAACUAGCCCUGGGUAUACAGCACCUGGUAUGUUUCCUUGCCCACAUCUACCCACUUCUAGACACUUUCAGGUGGGCUGGUAAAACACCUAACCAGGAAGCCUAUCUCUAACCCUCUUUAAGCUUCCUCCCAGGACUUUCCGGACCAGGCCCCUGCCAACUCAUAUGUUGGCCUAAGCUCUCAUCUCCCUGUCACGUGUUGGGAACCCAGGGUUGACUGAAGAAGUGAUUAGUGCACCUGAGCAGGAUAGGCGGCCUGAGCCAACCCUCCACCCUUCAGCUGCGACAGGGCCUUGCGGAUGGUGUUCAGCUCCUGGAUUGUGGCUCCUCGGGCUGCCAGCAGCUUGGUACCCUCCAGGUUCCUCACUUCACCCUUGACCAUCGGUACUUGGGAGCAUCCCUGUCAGCUGCUCCCACACCUGAGAUGAGCACAAGCAGCAGGUCGUCAGCAGUGAGCCCCUCUGCCAGCUGCUGGAUGGUCAGUGCCGCCCGCAGUGCAUCCCGGUCCGGCAAGUUGUCCUCAGCACCCUCAAACACCUGGAUGCGGCUGUGUGGCUUCAGCAGCAUCUCUCUGAGGAGGGAGCAAGCAAGGGAGAAGAGAUGCGGUGCACUCCUCUCCUCCCACCUGACUUCCCAGCGGUACAGGUGAAAGUGUCCCACUGAUACCUAUUUCAAAACCAGGCCAGACCCAGGAGACAGGGAGGUCAAAGAGGAAGGGAGGUUCUCUUCCAAAGGAUAGCAGAGGGCAUCCCCUGCCCCCAUAGUUUCUUACUGCUUGCCGGCAUGUUCCAUAGCAGCUUGGAUCCCCUUGGGUACGCUGAUAACACCCUGCACGAGAUGCUGGCCCAGUAACUCCUCAGCUGCAGCUGCCAUGCCCAGUACAGCCUUGCCAAAGCCCACUAGGUAGAGGUUUUCCCGGAGCUGAAAGGUCCGGUCCCGCACCUUCAGCUGUCUGCCACUGGGAUCCAAGGACAGUGCCCUUUGCAGCAUGGGGCCUGGCUGCACAGCGCCCACCGCACUAUCAAACAGUUGCCGCGCCUGUUCAGCCAAGGUCAUACCACUGGUCAUCCGGGCCACUGGGGGCCCCCAGAGGAGUGGACGGUAUGGGGCUCGGAGGAGACAGGGCAAGACCUGGAGGGCCGAAGCCAUGCCCUGCUUCUCUCAGCACUGUCUUGUCUCCAUAGCUGCCUAGAGAGGGAGGAGAAGAAGUGAGGCCACGGACAGACCCCCACCAUCAUGGCCACCCCUCUGAGGGCUCAGGACUGGCAGACUCCAUGACCUGAAAUGAAACCUGAAGAAUUCAUGAAGCCUAAGCAAACCUGAUCUUAGACCAGUCCUGAAAGCCCAGCCCUGAAUGCCCAGCCUCGUCCUCUUCUUCUGUGGGCCACACACCAGUCUUCUGGACACUCUGCCCCAAGUCCAAAGUUCCUGUUAAGUGGACCUUCCUCCUAGGUCCUCCUAGUUAAUCAUUCAGUAAGGAAGCCAAUCCUACCAGUGGGCCCCUGUACCAUUCUUUCUCUACAUCCUGUAUCUCCAAAGUCCUCACACCACAGCAGUGCCCCUUUCUGGCAUUUAUGCCUUAGACUUUACCACUUCUACUGCCAAAAAAAAAACCCAAAAGGCUAUUGGUUGUCUAGCCACCUGACCCCAAGUCCAUCGACCUCUAGCCUGCUCUGUUUUGUUAGCUCAUGAGGCCAGUCUGGCAAUGCUGGGUCCAUGUGGAAAGGCUGCAGGUUUAUCAGUGCACACAACCUAUGGAAGCUCAGUACUCAGGCUAGUUCAGCAAGUGGGCCAGGCACAAAUCAAGAGGAACUACAAAAUCUGACUCAAGGUGAGACCUUCAGCAAGUCCCCGGGUUAUAUGCAAAAGGACAUGUGCUAUGGGGCUCAAUCUACAGGACAAGAAAAGACACCCUGUACCCCCACAGCUGGUCAUGAUCAGCCUUGCCAGGAACACCCCUUUCUGGCUCCAUGAUAGCAAAACAAGUCCCGAGUUACACCACUCGCAGUAAAAAACAGCCCCAGCACCAGAGCAGGCAAAGGCCAGGUUCCAGGAAUGAUGCUCAAUCAUUUUCUCCACUGGGCAAACAGAAAGGUCUUGGGGUAAAGGUCAGGAAGCUUCGGAGUAAAUAUAAGAACAAUAAAGGACUUAUCCGUAAAAAGGUAUCUAAGUUUAGGGACAGGAGGAUACUGAAGAGUGAACCUGGGGUUGUCCAUGUAACAAGAAUACACUCUACCACUGAGCUAUAUUCAAGCCCCUAAAAAAGUAGAAAGACAGCUGUAUCCGUAAGCAUGGGUGGAAGAGGGUGGAGUAUAGGGAUUGGGGUUCUAGCUUUUUUUUUUUUUAAAGUGUGUAUAGUAUGUCUUUUCUCACACUGAGCUCAUUUGCAAGAUGUGGGAUGCAAUGAAGCCUAAUUCUCAGGGAACUUGAAAGUGUAGUUCUGUGGGAGAGACCAUCCCUAACAUGCUAAAGUCAUCCAAUUCUCCACAGUGCUGGAAGACUGAUGGUCUUAUUUUCCUGACACCUCAGGCUUUCUGAUUCUCUGUACAACUGACAGAGCAAACUCCAGUUGCCAAAUUCCCAACGCUGUUUAAGACACUACACCUUCCCAGCUCCAGUGCACCUGGCUUGCGGGAGGAAAAGCGAAGACCAGCCUUGACUUCUCCCAGAACCAAGUGGAGCUGGCAUCACGUCGGAAAUGGCCAACCGCCAGGUGACCGGAAGUGACGUCGCCCGAGGCUGAGCCUGUAAUCUUCUCGAGGGAAGUGCUGCCGCGCAGUGCAAGAUGUAACAAAAUUGAGGGGCUGCUGUCGCCUGGAUCUGUCUCUGUCCGGGCCAGGAACGACUUCCAAGGACCAUUUAUGCGCCUGAGACGCAAACCUACCUUUCCGCUGCUCCUAGCGCCGGAGACCGGAAGUCGACUCUCUGUGGGUGGGGAUUAAUCCGGAAGUGGCUGGUCUGAGGUCUCCCUAGAGACCGAGAGCAGAGGUUUAAACUUUCGUGCCUCACUGACCGCCAGAAAACCUGAAAAGAGGUGAAUGAAGGCCUCUGGAUUCUGUAUUCCUGUAGUGGAUUCUCAGUGGUUUGUAAUGAGCCUUCCCUCUUCAUCCUGUUAGAUCUAGUCAGUCGUUACAUACACCCUGAAUGCCUGUGAGGUCCUGGACACAGGGCUAAACGGCAGCGAGAGCUACAACACACCCCUCUAGAAAGAGAUUUAAAGUCAUCCAUGACAAUUCAUUGAUGUUUACCACUUUUCUCAAUAAGCUACCACACACAGCUAACUCAGCAAAAGGUUUCUGUUCGGUGACCUUUGAACACACAAGAGCAAACUGCCUGUAAACAACAUGACCCAAAGCCGCCUUCCUCCCUA
This is a long non-coding RNA of Mastomys coucha (southern multimammate mouse), 4301 nucleotides long. RefSeq lists it as uncharacterized. The record is from RefSeq and is a predicted model, not a curated record. NCBI's taxonomy places the organism in Eukaryota, Metazoa, Chordata, Mammalia, Rodentia, Muridae. The transcript has 3 exons.